GUCGCCGCCGCCCUCAUUCGCUGUGUGAACGCUCUUCGUGCACGGCGGGGAAAUGAGCCCCGUGAGCGCAGGGGUCUUCCCCGAAGUUUCUGCAUUUUGCUGUCCCGCUGCUGCUCUGAGCAUCGCGAUCCGCGCGAAGUGGAAUGUGCUUCGAACAAGUGAACGCCAGUCUUUACCAUGCGUUUUCCAAAUCGCAAGCUUUUCUUUUUUGUGUGUGUGUAUGUGUGGUUAUUUUUGUGUUAUGGAUUGCAUCUUCGUGUUUUUUGUUACUUUUUGCAUCCUAGAGGCAUAAAUACAAGAAUUAUAUCUGUAGCAUAUAUAGAGGUCCGAAUGCAAUGUACACAACCAUUAGGGCAGUUCACAGUUAGGAGAAGGGCUGAAGCAUUGCCCAAAGAGGUAAAAUGCACUAAGAGAGAAGUCUGCUUUGUUUUAUAUGUUCUUAAAUGUUCUUCUGGUUGCCUUCCCAUGCUGCACUCUCUUCCAUAUGCUCUCUACACCCACCAACACACCCACCUACACACACACAAUUUACCAACAUACUUUAUGGCUUUGCUGAAUUGAGAUCCACACCACCAUUCAAAUAAGAUAAAACAAACAGCUGUUUUCUUUCUGCAGAACGAGCAUAUUCUGACUUGGCACUUGUGAAGCAUCUGAAAGAAGAUGCUUCUUGAAGAAGUUGACAGAAAUGUCUUACACCAGCGCAGUGUAACGCUGCAUGGAAGGCCCAGGUCUGAAGUAUGCUCACCUGGGUGUGCUGAGGAGCAUUGGGACAAUUUCCAGAGGGAUCUGGCAGGUGUGGGCCAUUACACCUCAUUAUGAAAAUCAAAAGGACUGAAAACAAAAGAGACAUCUCAGCUUGUCACCAUGCUAUUCCUCCUUGCUGUAUGUAUGGUAACUGUGAGUCACACCCUGAACCACUGAUUGAGCACCUGGGUAAAGGACCAGGCCAGCCCUAGGAGCACAGCUGAAGGCAAUUCACCUGUGCAACUGGAAGAGGUGGAGCCUGGCUGCACCUCUCUUAGACCCCCCCAUUUAAGGGCUGACUGGCCCUGGGAGAAGGAUCUCUGGUUGGAGAUCGUUCCUUUGUGGAGUCUUUCUUGUGAGCCUAGAUCUUCAGAGAUGGGUGAGUACUUCUCCUUUAUAACACCAUUCUAUCUUUGCUGGUCCCUUUGCUGUUAUGCUUUUCUGUCACCUUUUCACUGUACUGACCUUUUUGAUUGUAAUAAUGUACAACUCUGUUCUGCUUUGUGGUACAUAGCCACUGGAGCUACAGCAGAAAAUAUUCUCCCAAAAUAUGCCACUUACAGGAAAGGGUGCUUAGGUGGGAAGCAGAUAAAAGAAUAGUAACCAGUUCCCAGGUGCCUUGUCAGCUAGUAGAAUACAAAGAUCUGAAUGACGUAUAUGGCUUCCUUGUAAAGAGCACUGUGAGACACAAAUCCAAUGAAUGUGUUCCUUAAAUCCAUCUCUCUUCCCCAGAAUACUGAGAAGAUCCAUACUAUGUCUGCUAGUAGGAGUUACUGGCAAGUGUUGAUAUCUCUCUUUUGGCUCUAAUUUGGGCCUCAGGUUGCUGCAGUAGCUGCCAUCCUGGUUCCCCAUGUUGCUAAUGUCAGCCAGCUCUCCUGGAGUCCUUUGAGAAGGACAACAGAAAACUACGGCAGCAACUAGAAUAAAUAGGGAAUAUGAACUACGUUUCUUCCUUUUUCACUCCAAGAAGGAAGACAAAGAAGUAUGGUACACUACAUCUGUGACAUGGUAAAAACCUCAGGUGGGAAGCAGAGAUUCCAACGCAGCAUACCAGUUGCUUUGAUGGUAGCAUGGAUGGAGUAAGUGUCAGUACUCAGAAGCUUAAUCUAGCUUUAUUGGUCUUUCAUACAAAAAAAAAAACCCUAAAUUUGAUAUUUCAGACCCUCACUAAAGUUAUUGCUUGAAUUUACUUAUUUUAAAAUGUAUUUGAACACUUGUUUCCUUUCAAGAAUGAGCCUGUCACUAAUAAAGCAGUUAAAAAGUAAAUUAUUUCCCUCUCUUUCUG
Long non-coding RNA from Gallus gallus (chicken), 2029 nucleotides. NCBI's taxonomy places the organism in Eukaryota, Metazoa, Chordata, Aves, Galliformes, Phasianidae. The record is from Ensembl.